AGUGAACGCUGGCGGUAGGCCUAACACAUGCAAGUCGAACGGCAGCACAGUAAGAGCUUGCUCUUACGGGUGGCGAGUGGCGGACGGGUGAGGAAUACAUCGGAAUCUACUUUUUCGUGGGGGAUAACGUAGGGAAACUUACGCUAAUACCGCAUACGACCUACGGGUGAAAGCAGGGGAUCUUCGGACCUUGCGCGAUUGAAUGAGCCGAUGUCGGAUUAGCUAGUUGGCGGGGUAAAGGCCCACCAAGGCGACGAUCCGUAGCUGGUCUGAGAGGAUGCUCAGCCACACUGGAACUGGGACACGGUCCAGACUCCUACGGGAGGCAGCAGUGGGGAAUAUUGGACAAUGGGCGCAAGCCUGAUCCAGCCAUACCGCGUGGGUGAAGAAGGCCUUCGGGUUGUAAAGCCCUUUUGUUGGGAAAGAAAAGCAGCAGGUUAAUACCCCGCUGUUCUGACGGUACCCAAAGAAUAAGCACCGGCUAACUUCGUG
Molecule: ribosomal RNA, 492 nt
Filed under: uncultured bacterium
Lineage: Bacteria
Description: partial 16S ribosomal RNA
Rfam family: Bacterial small subunit ribosomal RNA
Source: RNAcentral